CGCGCAGGUGGUUUCUUAAGUCUGAUGUGAAAGCCCACGGCUCAACCGUGGAGGGUCAUUGGAAACUGGGAGACUUGAGUGCAGAAGAGGAUAGUGGAAUUCCAAGUGUAGCGGUGAAAUGCGUAGAGAUUUGGAGGAACACCAGUGGCGAAGGCGACUGUCUGGUCUGUAACUGACACUGAGGCGCGAAAGCGUGGGAGGCAAACA
This 207-nucleotide ribosomal RNA is filed under the name uncultured bacterium. Its description in RNAcentral is "partial 16S ribosomal RNA". It matches the Rfam family "Bacterial small subunit ribosomal RNA", at positions 568 to 774 of the family's 1533-position model. The record is from RNAcentral.